Molecule: long non-coding RNA, 1344 nt
Filed under: Vigna radiata
Lineage: Eukaryota; Viridiplantae; Streptophyta; Magnoliopsida; Fabales; Fabaceae
Description: long non-coding RNA (VRAD_LNC008542)
Source: RNAcentral
AGGUAGUUGGCGGCUGGAGACGCUCUCGAAAGAGAGAGAGAUGCGAAUGAACGAAAAUGAAGAAGUGGCAUUGUGUUUCGAUCCUCUCACGAGAAAAACAAUCUCGCGUGGCAGUGGUGCUGAUGACACAGCGAGAAUGAACGCGUGCCAAGCAGGGAAUGGUGAGGUGAUGUUACAGAGGAAAGAGAAUCUAAAGUGGGAAAAUGAAAUAGAAUGGCAAGGUGAAUGAAAGGUGGCUGAGGAAUCCAAUCCCUUGGAUUCUUUAGCCUUGACUUUUAAGGGGACUAAAUCUGGAGUUAUCUCAAUAGAAAUUUAAUCCAAUAUCUCAAAAGUGAAUACAAGAAGUGUAGGCAUGGCUAUUUAUAGGACUAGAAGUCCCACAUGCCUAUCACAAUACAAGGUACAUAAAAGAAAUGCUAGACUAAAGAAAUUGGGCUUGGGCCCCGCGUAUCAUCCCCUUCCCCUUGGAAAGGAUUUGUCCUCAAAUCUGAUGGUUCGCCUGAGGACUUAUUUUUGUAGACUUUAUAGAAGUUCCUCCUAGGUCAAAGAUUAAUCUGCAAUAAGCAUCAAACAUUUCUCCAAUUAGCUUUAUUUGACCCAAUAAGAUAUAUAGAGGAAUAUGUCUAGAAGAAGGUUUCCUAACUUUGAAAUUUUCAAAUUCAUGAUUAUAAAGAAACCUUACUUCAUUUCUAUCUUGAAUUAAUGAUAACUUGAAAGAUAACUUUAACUCAAGAUUCUGAUUUCCAUGUGUUAAAAUUUGUAACUUGUGAAAAGAUGAAUUUGAAACAUUUAAUAUCAAAUGGAAAAAAGUGAAAGGAUAGAAAACCUCCCCUUAAAAGUUUGGGUUCUAGAGUAGGAAAUAUUGCCAUCAAUUUCUUUUCUUCUAUUUUCUUCCUUUCAAUUUCUUCCUUCUCUUUCUUUUGUCGCUCUCUUCUUUCUUCCUCUUCCUUUCUUGCUUUUUCUCUUCUUAUUCUCUCUUUUUCUUCCUCUUUUAUCCUUGCUUGCUCUCUUCUCCUCUCCUUUUCUCUUCUCAAUUAUUCUCUUCUCACUCUUUCUUGUAGUUGCCUAUGUUCUCUCUCAAGGUCUCUUUUACUUCCCUCAUUCAAGAACUUCAUAAGUUUAUCUCUAAAUUCUCUUUCCCGGCAAGAAAACUCACUUAUAUUUUGAAUGAAUGCUUUACCCUUUUUAAUGAGUUCUCUUAAAAGCUCUUGAUUUCUCUGAUUCUGUUGUAUGACUCUAAGUUCUUGGAUGAUGGAGGUUUGCACCUCCCUUUUAAAAGUAUAGUUGACUCACACAUCAAAUACAAUCGGACUCUAAGCGGACUCUAAUAAAUCCUACGCCCCU